GCGGACGGGUGAGUAACACGUGGGCAACCUGCCCUGCAGACUGGGAUAAUCCGGGAAACCGGAGCUAAUACCGGGUAAUACAUCGCACCGCAAGGUGCAAUGUUGAAAGUUGGCUUUCUGAGCUAACACUGCAGGAUGGGCCCGCGGCGCAUUAGCUAGUUGGUAAGGUAAUGGCUUACCAAGGCGACGAUGCGUAGCCGACCUGAGAGGGUGAUCGGCCACACUGGGACUGAGACACGGCCCAGACUCCUACGGGAGGCAGCAGUAGGGAAUCUUCCGCAAUGGACGAAAGUCUGACGGAGCAACGCCGCGUGAGUGACGAAGGCCUUCGGGUCGUAAAGCUCUGUUGUUAGGGAAGAACAAGUACCGUUCGAAUAGGGCGGUACCUUGACGGUACCUAACCAGAAAGCCACGGCUAACUACG
Molecule: ribosomal RNA, 424 nt
Filed under: Bacillus sp. R10.68
Lineage: Bacteria; Bacillati; Bacillota; Bacilli; Caryophanales; Bacillaceae
Description: bacterial SSU rRNA
Rfam family: Bacterial small subunit ribosomal RNA
Source: RNAcentral